CUGAAUAGGGCGCAUAAGUAACAGGUCGUAGACCCGAAACCAGGUGAUCUACCCAUGUCCAGGAUGAAGGUAAGGUAAUACUUACUGGAGGUCCGAACCCACGCACGUUGAAAAGUGCGGGGAUGAGGUGUGGGUAGCGGAGAAAUUCCAAUCGAACUUGGAGAUAGCUGGUUCUCUCCGAAAUAGCUUUAGGGCUAGCCUCGAGGUAAAGAGUCAUGGAGGUAGAGCACUGUUUGGACUAGGGGCCCUUCUCGGGUUACCGAAUUCAGAUAAACUCCGAAUGCCAUGUACUUAUACUCGGGAGUCAGACUGCGAGUGAUAAGAUCCGUAGUCGAAAGGGAAACAGCCCAGACCACCAGUUAAGGUCCCCAAAUAUAUGUUAAGUGGAAAAGGAUGUGGGGUUGCUUAGACAACCAGGAUGUUGGCUUAGAAGCAGCCACCAUUGAAAGAGUGCGUAAUAGCUCACUGGUCGAGUGACCCCGCGCCGAAAAUGUACCGGGGCUAAACAUAUUACCGAAACUGUGGAUGAACCUCUUUAGAGGUUCGUGGUAGGAGAGCGUUCUAAGGGCGGUGAAGUCAGACCGGAAGGACUGGUGGAGCGCUUAGAAGUGAGAAUGCCGGUAUGAGUAGCGAAAGAAGGGUGAGAAUCCCUUCCACCGAAUAUCUAAGGUUUCCUGAGGAAGGCUCGUCCGCUCAGGGUUAGUCGGGACCUAAGCCGAGGCCGAUAGGCGUAGGCGAUGGACAACAGGUAGAGAUUCCUGUACCAGUGCUAAUUGUUUAACCGAUGGGGUGACACAGAAGGAUAGGGAAUCGCACGAAUGGAAAUGUGCGUCCAAGCAGUGAGUGUGAGAAGUAGGCAAAUCCGCUUCUCGCGAAGCAUGAGCUGUGAUGGGGAAGGAAAUUAAGUACGGAAGUUCCUGAUUUCACGCUGUCAAGAAAAGCCUCUAGGAAGAGUAGUACUGCCCGUACCGCAAACCGACACAGGUAGAUGAGGAGAGAAUCCUAAGGUGAGCGAGAGAACUCUCGUUAAGGAACUCGGCAAAAUGACCCCGUAACUUCGGGAGAAGGGGUGCUCUAUUAGGGUGCAAGCCCGAGAGAGCCGCAGUGAAUAGGCCCAGGCGACUGUUUAGCAAAAACACAGGUCUCUGCAAAACCGUAAGGUGACGUAUAGGGGCUGACGCCUGCCCGGUGCUGGAAGGUUAAGAGGAGUGCUUAGCUUCGGCGAAGGUACGAAUUGAAGCCCCAGUAAACGGCGGCCGUAACUAUAACGGUCCUAAGGUAGCGAAAUUCCUUGUCGGGUAAGUUCCGACCCGCACGAAAGGCGCAACGAUCUGGGCACUGUCUCAACGAGAGACUCGGUGAAAUUAUAGUACCUGUGAAGAUGCAGGUUACCCGCGACAGGACGGAAAGACCCCGUGGAGCUUUACUGCAACCUGAUAUGGAAUGUUUGUACCGCUUGUACAGGAUAGGUAGGAGCCGAAGAGACGUGUGCGCUAGCAUACGAGGAGGCAAUGGUGGGAUACUACCCUGGCUGUAUGACCAUUCUAACCCGCCACGCUUAGCGCGUGGGGAGACAGUGUCAGGUGGGCAGUUUGACUGGGGCGGUCGCCUCCUAAAGAGUAACGGAGGCGCCCAAAGGUUCCCUCAGAAUGGAUGGAAAUCAUUCGCAGAGUGUAAAGGCACAAGGGAGCUUGACUGCGAGACUGACAAGUCGAGCAGGGACGAAAGUCGGGCUUAGUGAUCCGGUGGUUCCGCAUGGAAGGGCCAUCGCUCAACGGAUAAAAGCUACCCCGGGGAUAACAGGCUUAUCUCCCCCAAGAGUCCACAUCGACGGGGAGGUUUGGCACCUCGAUGUCGGCUCGUCGCAUCCUGGGGCUGUAGUCGGUCCCAAGGGUUGGGCUGUUCGCCCAUUAAAGCGGCACGCGAGCUGGGUUCAGAACGUCGUGAGACAGUUCGGUC
This 1959-nucleotide ribosomal RNA is filed under the name Listeria monocytogenes. Its description in RNAcentral is "partial 23S ribosomal RNA". It matches the Rfam family "Bacterial large subunit ribosomal RNA", at positions 683 to 2636 of the family's 2925-position model. The record is from RNAcentral. Lineage: Bacteria; Bacillati; Bacillota; Bacilli; Caryophanales; Listeriaceae.